Molecule: ribosomal RNA, 439 nt
Filed under: uncultured bacterium
Lineage: Bacteria
Description: bacterial SSU rRNA
Rfam family: Bacterial small subunit ribosomal RNA
Source: RNAcentral
GACGAACGCUGGCGGCGUGCUUAACACAUGCAAGUCGAACGGUAAGGCCCUUCGGGUACGACGAGUGGCGAACGGGUGAGUAACACGUGGGUGAUCUGCCCUGUACUUCGGGAUAAGCCUGGGAAACUGGGUCUAAUACCGGAUAGGACCAUGGACUUCACGGUUUGUGGUGGAAAGCUUUUGCGGUGUGGGAUGGGCCCGCGGCCUAUCAGCUUGUUGGUGGGGUAAUGGCCUACCAAGGCGACGACGGGUAGCCGGCCUGAGAGGGUGUCCGGCCACACUGGGACUGAGAUACGGCCCAGACUCCUACGGGAGGCAGCAGUGGGGAAUAUUGCACAAUGGGCGCAAGCCUGAUGCAGCGACGCCGCGUGAGGGAUGACGGCCUUGGUGUAACCUACUUCUAAUAGGACGAAGACGCAAGUGACGGUACCUAUAGAAG